This 172-nucleotide non-coding RNA is filed under the name unidentified. The record is from RNAcentral.
AAUGAGCACUUGAUUAAAGGUUCUUUGCAAGAUUAAUAGGGAAUGCCUAUUGGCAGCUGUCCCCGCAACUGUAAACAGCGAGUUAAUCGCCUGAAACCACUGGAUUUUCUGGGAAGGUGGCGAUAACGUUUGAGCUGGAAGCCAGUAGACCUACCUUAAUCAAUAAACCUGA